RNAcentral lists this ribosomal RNA (482 nucleotides) under uncultured bacterium. Its description in RNAcentral is "partial 16S ribosomal RNA". It matches the Rfam family "Bacterial small subunit ribosomal RNA", at positions 30 to 507 of the family's 1533-position model. The record is from RNAcentral.
AUUGAACGCUGGCGGCAUGCCUUACACAUGCAAGUCGAACGGUAACGGGCCUUCGGGUGCCGACGAGUGGCGCACGGGUGAGUAAUACAUCGGAACGUGCCCGAUCGUGGGGGAUAACGAGGCGAAAGCUUUGCUAAUACCGCAUACGAUCUACGGAUGAAAGCAGGGGUCCGCAAGGCCUUGCGCGGACGGAGCGGCCGAUGGCAGAUUAGGUAGUUGGUGGGAUAAAAGCUUACCAAGCCGACGAUCUGUAGCUGGUCUGAGAGGAUGAUCAGCCACACUGGGACUGAGACACGGCCCAGACUCCUACGGGAGGCAGCAGUGGGGAAUUUUGGACAAUGGGCGCAAGCCUGAUCCAGCCAUGCCGCGUGCAGGAUGAAGGCCUUCGGGUUGUAAACUGCUUUUGUACGGAACGAAAAGCCUUCUUUUAAUACAGGAGGGUCAUGACGGUACCGUAAGAAUAAGCACCGGCUAACUACGUG